RNAcentral lists this ribosomal RNA (518 nucleotides) under uncultured bacterium. Its description in RNAcentral is "bacterial SSU rRNA". It matches the Rfam family "Bacterial small subunit ribosomal RNA", at positions 9 to 518 of the family's 1533-position model. The record is from RNAcentral.
GAAUUGAUCUUGGUCAGAACGAACGCUGGCGGCGCGUCUUAAGCAUGCAAGUCGAACGGCAAGAGGUAGCAAUACCUCCUAGAGUGGCGGACUGGUGAGUAACACGUGGGUGACAUACCCUUCAGAUGGGGAUAGCUAUUAGAAAUAGUAGAUAAUACCGAAUACGAGCACAGGGGUUAGAGAUCUGUGAGGAAAGGAGCUAAGGCUCCGCUGAAGGAAUGGCCUGCGGCCCAUUAGCUAGUUGGUGAGGUAAGAGCCCACCAAGGCGAUGAUGGGUAUCCGGCCUUAGAGGGUGAACGGACACAUUGGGACUGAGAUACGGCCCAGACUCCUACGGGAGGCAGCAGCUAAGAAUAUUCCGCAAUGGACGAAAGUCUGACGGAGCGACGCCGCGUGGAUGAAGAAGGCCGGAAGGUUGUAAAAUCCUUUUGAAACUGAAGAAUAAGCGUUGUAGGGAAUGACAGCGUGGUGACAGUAGGUUUUGAAUAAGCAACGGCUAAUUACGUGCCAGCCGCGGC